UACGUAGGGUGCAAGCGUUAAUCGGAAUUACUGGGCGUAAAGCGUGCGCAGGCGGUUUUGUAAGUUUGUCGUGAAAGCCCCGGGCUCAACCUGGGAAUUGCGAUGAAGACUGCAAGGCUUGAAUCCGGGAGAGGGAUGCGGAAUUCCAGGUGUAGCGGUGAAAUGCGUAGAUAUCUGGAGGAACACCGGUGGCGAAGGCGGCAUCCUGGACCGGUAUUGACGCUGAGGCGCGAAAGCCAGGGGAGCAAACGGG
This 253-nucleotide ribosomal RNA is filed under the name uncultured bacterium. RNAcentral's name for it is "partial 16S ribosomal RNA". It matches the Rfam family "Bacterial small subunit ribosomal RNA", at positions 524 to 776 of the family's 1533-position model. The record is from RNAcentral.